RNAcentral lists this ribosomal RNA (292 nucleotides) under uncultured prokaryote. RNAcentral's name for it is "partial 16S ribosomal RNA". It matches the Rfam family "Bacterial small subunit ribosomal RNA", at positions 505 to 796 of the family's 1533-position model. The record is from RNAcentral.
GUGCCAGCCGCCGCGGUAAUACGUAGGGGGCAAGCGUUGUCCGGAAUUAUUGGGCGUAAAGCGCGCGCAGGCGGUUCCUUAAGUCUGAUGUGAAAGGCCACAGCUCAACUGUGGAGGGCCGUUGGAAACUGGGGAACUUGAGGACAGAAGAGGAGAGCGGAAUCCCACGUGUAGCGGUGAAAUGCGUAGAUAUGUGGAGGAACACCAGUGGCGAAGGCGGCUCUCUGGUCUGUAACUGACGCUGAGGCGCGAAAGCAUGGGUAGCGAACAGGAUUAGAAACCCCCGUAGUCC